RNAcentral lists this unclassified non-coding RNA (432 nucleotides) under soil metagenome. RNAcentral describes it as "partial contains 5.8S ribosomal RNA, internal transcribed spacer 2, and large subunit ribosomal RNA". The stretch from base 1 to 120 matches the Rfam family "5.8S ribosomal RNA", at positions 35 to 154 of the family's 154-position model. The record is from RNAcentral.
GAUGAAGAACGCAGCGAAAUGCGAUACGUAAUGUGAAUUGCAGAAUUCAGUGAAUCAUCGAAUCUUUGAACGCAUAUUGCGCUCUCUGGUAUUCCGGAGAGCAUGCUUGUUUGAGUAUCAGUAAACACCUCAACUUCCAUAUCUUUUUUGAAAUGGGAGUUGGACUUGAGUGAUCCCAACGCUUUUCCUCACCGAAAAGUGGCGGGUUACUUGAAAUGCAGGUGCAGCUGGACUUUUCUCUGAGCUAUAAGCAUAUCUAUUUAGUCUGCCUAAAAAACAGAUUAUUACCUUUGCUGCAGCUAACAUAAAGGAGAUUAGUUCUUGUGCUGACUGAUGCAGGAUUCACAAAGACGGCUUCGGCCUACUUUGUAAACUCGAUCUCAAAUCAAGUAAGACUACCCGCUGAACUUAAGCAUAUCAAUAAGCGGAGGA